AUUGAACGCUGGCGGCAGGCUUAACACAUGCAAGUCGAGCGGAGAGAGGUAGCUUGCUACUGAUCUUAGCGGCGGACGGGUGAGUAAUGCUUAGGAAUCUGCCUAUUAGUGGGGGACAACAUUUCGAAAGGAAUGCUAAUACCGCAUACGUCCUACGGGAGAAAGCAGGGGAUCUUCGGACCUUGCGCUAAUAGAUGAGCCUAAGUCGGAUUAGCUAGUUGGUGGGGUAAAGGCCUACCAAGGCGACGAUCUGUAGCGGGUCUGAGAGGAUGAUCCGCCAAACUGGGACUGGGACACGGCCCAGACUCCUACGGGAGGCAGCAGUGGGGAAUAUUGGACAAGGGGCGCAAGCCUGAUACAGCCAUGCCGCGUGUGUGAAGAAGGCCUUAUUGUUGUAAAGCACUUUAAGCGAGGAGGAGGCUACUUUAGUUAAUACCUAGAGAUAGUGGACGUUACUCGCAGAAUAAGCACCGGCUAACUCUGUGCCAGCCGCCGCCGUAA
RNAcentral lists this ribosomal RNA (501 nucleotides) under uncultured bacterium. Its description in RNAcentral is "partial 16S ribosomal RNA". It matches the Rfam family "Bacterial small subunit ribosomal RNA", at positions 30 to 523 of the family's 1533-position model. The record is from RNAcentral.